Molecule: transfer RNA, 72 nt
Filed under: Schistocephalus solidus
Lineage: Eukaryota; Metazoa; Platyhelminthes; Cestoda; Diphyllobothriidea; Diphyllobothriidae
Rfam family: tRNA
About the family: Transfer RNA (tRNA) molecules are approximately 80 nucleotides in length. Their secondary structure includes four short double-helical elements and three loops (D, anti-codon, and T loops).
Source: Rfam by way of RNAcentral
GAGCCCCUGGCUCAAUGGUAGAGCGUUCGACGUAAAUUCCAAAUGCCGCGGGUUCGAGUCCCAUGUGUUUCA